AGGUGCUGCAUGGCUGUCGUCAGCUCGUGUCGUGAGAUGUUGGGUUAAGUCCCGCAACGAGCGCAACCCUUGCCAUUAGUUGCUACGAAAGGGACACUCUAAUGGGACUGCCGGUGACAAACCGGAGGAAGUGGGGAUGACGUCAAGUCCUCAUGGCCCUUAUAGGUGGGGCUACACACGUCAUACAAUGGCCGGUACAGAGGGUAGCCAACCCGCGAGGGGGAGCCAAUCCCACAAAGCCGGUCGUAGUCCGGAUCGCAGUCUGCAACUCGACUGCGUGAAGUCGGAAUCGCUAGUAAUCGCGGAUCAGCAUGUCGCGGUGAAUACGUUCCCGGGUCUU
This 340-nucleotide ribosomal RNA is filed under the name uncultured Allobrachymonas sp. Its description in RNAcentral is "bacterial SSU rRNA". It matches the Rfam family "Bacterial small subunit ribosomal RNA", at positions 1036 to 1382 of the family's 1533-position model. The record is from RNAcentral. Lineage: Bacteria; Pseudomonadati; Pseudomonadota; Betaproteobacteria; Burkholderiales; Comamonadaceae.